AUAUUUUGGUUUGGAUUGCUUAAUUCCAAUAUGUAUGUUUAUGUCAAGUAAAUAAUAAUGUCGAUUUAGCUAGACUAUAGUGACUCGUUGUGGAAUGUAGUCUGUCAGUUAAGAGAUUAGCAGUUAAUGUGUAUAUCCCUGGAUGAUUAGCUGUGAAUUGAGUUUUAUUUUAGUUUGCUUUUAGGCUAUAAUCAGCGUUGACAGAACAGAUGAGAGUGUAACACUUUGCCUUAUUUUCCCAUGGUGUCUUGUUCUAUGAAAAUCUAAAAUUAAAACCUCCAUAAAGGGAGAAAUGUUAUAUGAGCCGCCAGAGGCUAAAAUCCUUUGAUAAAUUAAAUAUGCUUCAUUUCAUUUUCUAAUAAAACAAGAACUAACUCCCUGGUCUGCUAAUGACUUUACUUAGCACCAUUGUUGCGAAAGUGGAGAUUUAUGCCCAAAAAUGGGCUUAAAAAUGUGAAAUUGAUGACCUGGGCGGAUUUCCGGUAUUUUUUUGGUUUGGCAUAUUGAUAUUUUUUCUUUUUUCAUGUUUUUCAAAAUCUUCAUUCUGCAAAAGAUUUUACUUUUCAGUAUUUGAAAAAUUGAAGAAAAACAACUAAAACACAUUAAAUUCGUUUAAUAUCCCCUUUAAAAUUGCAUGGAUAUACCAAAACGUGGACUUACAUUUACAUACUCUAUAGCAGUGGGCGGUAUACUUUGUGAAUAUCACGUAUUCGAUUUAAAACACUGAUUUUUAAAAAUAUGGCUAAAAUCAGAAGAACAAUGAACAUCCGUAGGUGCCGUUAUAUGUGGAUUGUAGCAAAACGUGGGUCUGCAUAGACACUGUUGUGUCAUGGGAUGUAGAUGUAGUAAACUAUUGCGUUAGAAACUGUAGCCAAAACUGAAAAAAAUAAAGACUGUCGGCAGGUACCGUUAUAUAGAGGCUAUGUAGACAAUGCUUUGCGCCGUAGGUAGAACGCACCAUGACAUCUCACCAAAUCGUUUCUAAAGACAGAUCGCAAUGGGAAAGCUCAAUGGUCCGAACUCCAAGAAUUCAACAACCUUUGCUUCAGGAAACUGCCUACUACCAAAUACCCGUAACAAGACUAAUCCUCCCAGCAAAGGAAGCGGCACCUGCGAACGAGAGUGAAGAGCUUCAGUAUUCCAACACCACUGAUCCCAAGGGAAUUGAAAUGGAGGUCAACAAGUUGGAACAUUGCUGCAACAUUUUAACUUAUAUGAGUGGAUUGUGCGUAAUUCUUUAAAUGAAGUUACAGUUAUUGCCCCAACAAGUUAUGCUGGCCGCUAAUUUGUCUAUCAUCUCGAAAGUAAGCGAAGAAUUCUACGUAGUAUUAGAUAUCCUUCCUCCCAGGAACUAUCACAACAGUUUUCAAUAGUUGAUAUUGGAGAUGUCAUUCAAAACAUUUGAACUAGAUGGAAUCACAAUGGUAAUGCUGAAAAAGCUAGAUACAUCGGGAGUUGACUACCUGAUAAAAGUCCUCAACCUCUCACUACCCACGUACAUCGUUCCGAAACCUGAUAAAUAGGUCGGGUCGUUCCGAUACUGAAGGAAAUGAUGUCAACAAAGGCGAAUGAUAAAGCCAAUUUCGGUUUUAUCGUCAGUAACAAAGACUAUCGACAUUUUACUCUUCCCCAUUGUUACUUCUUACGCUAUUCGGUUGCUUUCCGUCAGCGACAUAGCACAACGACAGCAUAACGGCAUAUCCACAUAUAUCAGUAGAGGGUUUUUUUGGAAUCGGUUAUUGGUUACGCCGUCACGACGAGGUCGGUACGAUGCCCGUAGUAUGAAUGUACCAUUGUUUUGUAGUCGAUUGUUAGUUAUCGAUAAUUAUUUCGAGUUCCUUGUUGCUUUCCAUUUCUUUUUAUUCUUGUAGUUUUGUGAUGUGAGUGAUGUGAUUCCGGGUUAUAGCUGUAUGUUGUUUUUAUGAAUGAAGUUGCACAAUUCACGAAAGUUUUCACAGGCAAAACUUUUGAGUACUGCAGGUAAAUUUGAAAAUUUUGUAAAGAAAUUGUAAUUCAUUCUGUCAUUAUUGUAUAUAUGGACAGGUAAGUUUUUCCAUAUGAUGAGGAACAGGUAAGUUUUUCCAUAUGUAUGACCAGUGAGAAGUCUGUUUAUAACCUUAAUUUCUCCAAGUGACAUGUUGAAUCCUGAAAACCAAUGGCGGUUUGGUGGCUCUGGGAAGAAUUGUGAGAAAUGUUGGUGGAUUAGGGAGCGAGCAUCUUUUAUCGAGAGGCCAGUUUGUAUGAUUGAACCAACUUCAGCUGCAUGUUUGGCGAAAAAGUCUGCACGUUCAUUAGCAGCAAUGCCUAUAUGCGAGGGAAUCCAGAUGAUGAUUCUGUAUUAUCUAUUUAGAGUGUAUUAUUUGUGUUAUAAGAUGCGUUGUUUAAUCCAGUGAGAUACUUUUGAGAAACUUGCUUGUUGGAAAGUUGGUUGAGACGGUGUUAUUUGAAUCGGACUGGCUGUGACGUGAUGAAUUGGAUUUCUAGGUGACGCUGUAUUUUAAUUUUGUGACUCUUUUAUUUAUUUCCUCAUAAACGCUUCUUUUUGGAGUAGAGGGUUAAUACACUUUUUACAUUCGGCCCUAUUAUGGUUGUCGUCGGCCUCGCAAAAUGAAGUCGAGGCGACAAUAAUAUUAGGGUUGUCGUUUUUUGUCGAUAGCGAAAAUGAUUACUAUUAUAGUUGUUGAUACAACAGUCGACGUGAAGUCGAUUUUUAAGAAAAUCUGUCGCCGUAAAAAAUUGUGACGACAUUGUAUUUUUUAGUCGACGGAAAACAUAAUUGUAACAGACGUUAUAGAUCAUGAAAAUGAGCCAGUGGACAAUGCUGAUGACGAGACUGAUGUAACUACUAUCUAAACUUCUCGAUCGCCCAGAAAAAACAAUGAUAAAAAGUCAUCAAGGAAAGAAGAAACUAUUGAAUUCUUGAAAGAGCAGUAUAAACUUUUGGAACAACAUAAUCAAGAGUCAGGCAAUGCAAAUAUGUUUGUUUGCUGCCUUAGCACUCGCCGCUGCACUACUAAUACAUUCUCCACUUCAUCCUCACUUGAGCUUAAGAUAUGUAACGCAUUUAUAAUAUCCAUUGUUUCACUAUAUUUUUUAUUUUUCCAAAAGAGAAUUCAAAAUACAAAAAAAAAAAUUUCUUAUUUUGUCAAUAACAAGGGAGUGUUGCCAACGCUUUUUUAGUUGUUGCCAACUUUUAUUUUAAACUGUCGAUGUCGCUUCAAUGCCUUACCGUAAUACCAUCUUUGAAUCGAAGCGACGGUUUGGGCGACUUGCACAUAAAGUCGACGAC
Molecule: long non-coding RNA, 3289 nt
Organism: Musca domestica (house fly)
Lineage: Eukaryota; Metazoa; Arthropoda; Insecta; Diptera; Muscidae
Exons: 4
Source: RefSeq, a predicted model, not a curated record